Non-coding RNA from Cyanistes caeruleus (blue tit), 508 nucleotides. NCBI's taxonomy places the organism in Eukaryota, Metazoa, Chordata, Aves, Passeriformes, Paridae. The record is from RefSeq and is a predicted model, not a curated record.
AUGACACUCCAGGAGCUGCUAUUCAGACAAUGCUGCUCACCCACUUUCCAAGUUUGCCUAUGAGGAUGUUUGACAUACAGCACUGUGCUUUGCAGGCCAAGGAAGAGAGGCCUCUCCACAGUCUGCUGCAGUGCUGCUACCUCAGGAACUGAAAUCUUAACCUUUACAAGUGGAACUGUAAUUUCCAGUCUUUCUAAGAAGCAUCCAUUCCUUUCAGCUCUGCAACUCCUGGUUCACAUCAGUCCUGUUAAAGGCAAGUAGACUGAGGGCAGACAAGAAUGGUAGAGGACAUAGACAGAACAGCUGAUGCCAUGUCAUCAAAGGAUAUCUCAUAUAUAACUAUCAUGCUCAGCAAUUAAACUGAAACGAUGUUUUCCAGUGGCACCUUUGCUCAGGGAUUGGUUGAACAGCAGGCAGCUGGUGGUGUGUGAUUGCUCCUUCAUCACUUGAAUUUUAUCAUAUUUUGUUUUCUUUCUCCACUCCACCUAUUAAAAUGUCCUUAUCUCAA